CCCGGGACUGCAGGAACCGGGCCUCGUGCAGGCCCUCUCUCCCUCCCUCCCUCCCUCUCUCUGUCUCUCUGUCUCUGUAUGUCUCUCUGUCUCUGUCUCCUCCAGGGGAAGCCUGGCUGCAGCUCCCAGGGCUGGGCGGGUUGCCUCCUUCCAGCCUGAGACAGGGGGUGGGGGAAGCUGGUGUGGCCAACAGCACCUGGAGCUGGCGGUGGGGUGCUGACCAGGACGGCGUCACCGAGGCCGCGUGCCCGUCAUCCCCGUGUGAUGCAAGCCGUGUUUCUUGGCGGUCUUCAUGGACUUCGAGAGAGAGAGACAGAGCAUGAACAGGGGAGGGGAGACCCAGAAACCGAAGCGGGCUCCAGGAUCUGAGCCGUCAGCACAGAGCCCGACGUGGGGCUUGAACCCACAAACCGUGAGAUCAUGACCUGAGCCGAAGUCCGACGCUCAACCGACUGAGCCACCCAGGUCCUGUCUGAGGGGCGAUUAAGAACGCUUUGCCUUUCUGCCCUGGAAGUGAACCUGCAGCGAAAGGUGAUUCGCCAGAAAAGAGUGAGUGUGCACGUUGUCUGCUCCUGGUAGGAGUCAGCGCUGGGAGGACUGGGUGGGUUCCGGGGUCUGUCCCUCCGGCUCGGAUCGCAGGCUGCAGGCAGCGCGUCCGUUUUCGCCGUAGAUGGACGGGCAGAAAAUCAAUGUUUUGCUCUGCUGACAAAGACACCCUGAUAGCUCAAAGGUAGGAGACCAUUAAAUACCACAGAUACACGAUUCACGGCGGAGGUGAAGCUUCGAGCGACCGCUGGGGGUGCCCCCCGCCCCCCCACCCCAGGAGUGCGGUGGCUGAGAUGCAGGAGAGCAGAGUUUUUUCUUGUUUUAUUUUUUUUAAUAUUUGAAAACUUUUUAUUAUGAAAAAAUUGUAGACUUAAGAAGCGUCCCGGAGAUGGGGCGCCUGGGUGGCUCAGUCAGUUAAGGGGCCGACUUCGGCUCAGGUCAUGAUCUCGCGGUCCAUGAGUUCGAGCCCCGCGGCGGGCUCUGUGCUGACAGCUCGCAGCCUGGAGCCUGCUUCGGAUUCCGUGUCUCCCCCUCUCGCUCUGCCCCUCCCCCACUCACGUUCUGUCUCUCUCUUUCUCAAAAAUAAAUAAACAUUAAAAAAAUUAAAACUUUCG
Molecule: long non-coding RNA, 1160 nt
Organism: Panthera uncia (snow leopard)
Lineage: Eukaryota; Metazoa; Chordata; Mammalia; Carnivora; Felidae
Exons: 3
Source: RefSeq, a predicted model, not a curated record